RNAcentral lists this ribosomal RNA (430 nucleotides) under Pseudomonadota bacterium. RNAcentral's name for it is "Proteobacteria bacterium partial 16S ribosomal RNA". It matches the Rfam family "Bacterial small subunit ribosomal RNA", at positions 355 to 776 of the family's 1533-position model. The record is from RNAcentral. Lineage: Bacteria; Pseudomonadati; Pseudomonadota.
UGGGGAAUAUUGGACAAUGGGGGGAACCCUGAUCCAGCCAUGCCGCGUGUGUGAAGAAGGCCUUAUGGUUGUAAAGCACUUUAAGCGAGGAGGAGGGUACUGGUAUUAAUACUACCAGGUACUGGACGUUACUCGCAGAAUAAGCACCGGCUAACUCUGUGCCAGCAGCCGCGGUAAUACAGAGGGUGCGAGCGUUAAUCGGAUUUACUGGGCGUAAAGCGUGCGUAGGCGGCUAAUUGAGUCGGAUGUGAAAUCCCCGAGCUUAACUUGGGAAUUGCAUUCGAUACUGGUUAGCUAGAGUGUGGGAGAGGAUGGUAGAAUUCCAGGUGUAGAGGUGAAAUGCGUAGAGAUCUGGAGGAAUACCGAUGGCGAAGGCAGCCAUCUGGCCUAACACUGACGCUGAGGUACGAAAGCAUGGGGAGCAAACAGG